CAGCAGACACAUUCCAGCCAAUCAGCAGCAGACCCUCUCUCCCAGACCCUCCCACCUCCUGGACAGCAUCCAUUUUGCAUUCAUUGUGAAGCUGCAUUCUUAGUGAGCUGUCUAGGAGGUGGGAGGGUCUGGGAGGGAAGGUCUGCAGCUGAUUGGCUGGAAUGUAUCUUCUG
This 173-nucleotide microRNA precursor is filed under the name Pelobates cultripes (western spadefoot toad). The record is from RNAcentral. Lineage: Eukaryota; Metazoa; Chordata; Amphibia; Anura; Pelobatidae.